AGUUUGAUUCUGGCUCAGAUUGAACGCUGGCGGGAUGCUUUACACAUGCAAGUCGAACGGCAGCACGGACUUCGGUCUGGUGGCGAGUGGCGAACGGGUGAGUAAUGUAUCGGAACGUGCCUAGUAGCGGGGGAUAACUACGCGAAAGCGUAGCUAAUACCACAUACGCCCUUCGAGAAGCGGGGACCUUCGGGCCUCGCACUAUUAGAGCGGCCGAUAUCGGAUUAGCUAGUUGGUGGGGUAACAGCUCGCAAGGCGACGAUCCGUAGCUGGUUUGAGAGGACGACCAGCCACGCAGGACUGAGACACGGCCCAGACUCCUACGGGAAGGCAACAGUGGGGAAUUUUGGACAAUGGGGAAACCCUGAUCCAGCCAUCCCGCGUGUGCGAUGAAGGCCUUCGGGUUGUAAAGCACUUUUGGCAGAAAGAAACGGCACGGGAUAAUACCCCGUGCAACUGGCAAUGACCUGCAGAAUAAGCGCAAGCCAACUACGUGCACCAGCAGCCGCGGUAAUACGUAAGGUGCAAGCGUUAAUCGGAAUUACUGGGCGUAAAGCGUGCGCAGGCGGUUCGGAAAGAAAGAUGUGAAAUCCCAGAGCUUAACUUUUUGGAACUGCAUUUUUAACACCGAGUAGAGUGUGUCAGAGUGGAAUUCCGCGUGUAGCAGUGAAAUGCGUAGAUAUGCGGAGAGAGGAACACCGAUAGCGAAGGCAGCCUCCUGGGAUAACACUGACGCUCAUGCACGAAAGCGUGGGAGCAAACAGGAUUAGAUACCCUGGUAGUCCACGCCCUAAACGAUGUCAACUAGCUGUUGGGGCCUUCGGGCCUUGGUAGCGCAGCUAACGCGUGAAGUUGACCGCCUGGGGAGUACGGUCGCAAGAUUAAAACUCAAAAGGAAUUGACGGGGACCCGCACAAGCGGUGGAUGAUGUGGAUUAAUUCAAGGUGCAGCGCGAAGAGCGCCUACCUUGACAUGUCUGGAAUGCCGAAGAGAUUUGGCAGUGCUCUUAAGAGAACCGGAACACAGGUGCUGCAUGGCUGUCGUCAGCUCGUGUCGUGAGAUGUUGGGUUGGUCCCGCAACGAGCGCAGCCCUUGUCAUUAGUUGCUACGAAAGAGGGCACUCUAAUGAGACUGCCGGUGACAAACCGGAGGAAGGUGGGGAUGACGUCAAGUCCUCACAACCCUUAUGGUGGGGCUUCACACGUCAUACAAUGGUCGGGACAGAGGGUCGCCAACCCGCGAGGGAGCCAAUCCCAGAAACCCGAUCGUAGUCCGGAUCGCAGUCCGCAACUCGACUGCGUGAAGUCAGAAUCCUCGCUAGUAAUCGCGGAUCAGCAUGUCGCGGUAGACCACGUUCCCGGGUCUUGUACCACUGCCCGUCACACCAUGGGAGUGGGUUUUACCAGAAGUAGUUAGCCUAACCGCAAGAGGCGAUUACCACAGUAGGAUUCAUGACUGGGGUGAAGUCGUAACAAAGGUAG
RNAcentral lists this ribosomal RNA (1481 nucleotides) under uncultured Bordetella sp. Its description in RNAcentral is "partial 16S-23S ribosomal RNA intergenic spacer". It matches the Rfam family "Bacterial small subunit ribosomal RNA". Lineage: Bacteria; Pseudomonadati; Pseudomonadota; Betaproteobacteria; Burkholderiales; Alcaligenaceae. The record is from RNAcentral.